CCUACGGGUGGCAGCAGUGAGGAAUAUUGGUCAAUGGGCGUAAGCCUGAACCAGCCAAGUCGCGUGAGGGAUGAAGGUUCUAUGGAUCGUAAACCUCUUUUAUAAGGGAAUAAAGUGUGGGACGUGUCCUAUUUUGUAUGUACCUUAUGAAUAAGGAUCGGCUAACUCCGUGCCAGCAGCCGCGGUAAUACGGAGGAUCCGAGCGUUAUCCGGAUUUAUUGGGUUUAAAGGGUGCGUAGGCGGCCUUUUAAGUCAGCGGUGAAAGUCUGUGGCUCAACCAUAGAAUUGCCGUUGAAACUGGGGGGCUUGAGUAUGUUUGAGGCAGGCGGAAUGCGUGGUGUAGCGGUGAAAUGCUUAGAUAUCACGCAGAACCCCGAUUGCGAAGGCAGCUUGCUGCAGCGGAACUGACGCUGAUGCUCGAAAGCGCGGGUAUCGAACAGGAUUAGAUACCCCUGUAGUC
This 460-nucleotide ribosomal RNA is filed under the name uncultured bacterium. RNAcentral's name for it is "partial 16S ribosomal RNA". It matches the Rfam family "Bacterial small subunit ribosomal RNA", at positions 338 to 795 of the family's 1533-position model. The record is from RNAcentral.